GUACACGCUGUGACUAGCAUAUCAAUAAGCGGAGGAAAAGAAACUAACAAGGAUUCCCUUAGUAACGGCGAGUGAAGCGGGAAGAGCUCAAAUUUGAAAUCUUAAAGGUUUUACCUUGACGAAUUGUAGUUUAAAGAAGUGUUUUCUGCUGAAGUUUUGGUAAAAGUUCUUUGGAAUAGGACAUCAUAGAGGGUGAGAAUCCCGUAUUUGACCAUUAUUUUCAGCUUUGUGAUACACUUUCAAAGAGUCGGAUUGUUUGGGAAUGCAGUCCAAGAUGGGUGGUAAAUUUCAUCUAAAGCUAAAUAUUGGCGAGAGACCGAUAGCGAACAAGUACCGUGAGGGAAAGAUGAAAAGAACUUUGAAAAGAGAGUUAAACAGUACGUGAAAUUGUCAAAAGGGAAGCGUUUGACACCAGUGUUGUUUUCUCGAAAAUCAAUUAAAAAUGGCUCGAUUUUGUAUCGCUUGAGACCUUAAAAGCUCACUGUACAUUUUUCGUGUCUUUUUUAAUGCACUUUUCGUUUAGCAAGUCAACAUCAGUUUCUUUUGUUGUAAAAGGGUCAUUGGAAGGUGGCUUUCUUUUCGGAGAAAGUGUUUAUAGCCUUUGGCCUCUGCAAUCGAAGAGACUGAGGUCUGCAGCGUAGACUCUUCGGGGUUAGAUACAUUUGUGCUAAGUUAUAGCUUUUUAUAGACAACUUGUUGACUAUAAUUAGUCUUGUAGCUUACUCGCUUAUGCUAUUUUUACCUACGCUUAGGAUGUUGAGCGCAUGUCUCUCUCU
RNAcentral lists this ribosomal RNA (776 nucleotides) under uncultured Neocallimastigales. RNAcentral's name for it is "partial large subunit ribosomal RNA". It matches the Rfam family "Eukaryotic large subunit ribosomal RNA", at positions 22 to 616 of the family's 3401-position model. The record is from RNAcentral. Lineage: Eukaryota; Fungi; Neocallimastigomycota; Neocallimastigomycetes; Neocallimastigales.